GCACUUUCAGUCGUGAGGAAGGUAGUGUAGUUAAUAGCUGCAUUAUUUGACGUUAGCGACAGAAGAAGCACCGGCUAACUCCGUGCCAGCAGCCGCGGUAAUACGGAGGGUGCGAGCGUUAAUCGGAAUUACUGGGCGUAAAGCGCAUGCAGGUGGUUUGUUAAGUCAGAUGUGAAAGACCCGGGGCGUCAACCUACGGAAUAGCAUUUAGUAAACUGGCAGACUAGAGUACUGUAGAGGGGGGUAGGAAUUUCAGGUGUAGCGGUGAAAUGCGUAGAGAUCUGAAGGAAUACCGGUGGCGAAGGCGGCCCCCUCGGACAGAUACUGACACUCAGAUGCGAAAGCGUGGGGAGCAAACAGGAUUAGAUACCCUGGUAG
Molecule: ribosomal RNA, 378 nt
Filed under: uncultured bacterium
Lineage: Bacteria
Description: bacterial SSU rRNA
Rfam family: Bacterial small subunit ribosomal RNA
Source: RNAcentral